Long non-coding RNA from Sciurus carolinensis (gray squirrel), 718 nucleotides. RefSeq lists it as uncharacterized. The transcript has 3 exons. Lineage: Eukaryota; Metazoa; Chordata; Mammalia; Rodentia; Sciuridae. The record is from RefSeq and is a predicted model, not a curated record.
AGCCAAGCGGUUGUGGCAGAGCCCAUGUGGCCCAUGAAGCCUGAAGUCCUCACUGCCUGGCCCUCAUUGGAAAUUGGCAGCACCUCAGCCUUAUGGGCUGACUGGGCUUGUGUACCCAAAAACUCCAGAUAACUGAUUCCCCCCAGAUGACCGGCCUCUUCUGCAUGCAAUUCCAGCCUCCCAACUGCAGCUCCCCUCCCCUGCCCAGCUCCGGGCACUGCUUCAUGUGCCCUGGAGAAGGACCCUUGCUUUACUUCUGACUCACGCACUCAGCAGCUCUUGGCUGAUCACCUGAUGGUCCAGAUACUGUCAGCUCUGGGCUGAAGAGAAGGUCCAUCCCACACAGCUGACACUGGAGCAGGAAAGACAGAUGAUUACCAUAUUGACCAAGUCCUGUGCAGGAAGUGAGAAAGGAUGACAUCCUUGGCUCUUAUUCCCCAUGGUGCUUAUGGAAGCUUCCCAGGGAGUCACCAUUUCUCUGAUUUGAAGGGACCAGGCAGCCAGAGGACAGCACAUUCCAAAAGACCAGGGACCAAGAGCCUUCAUCCUGGUGUCUGCCAGCCUUGCAGACAGGCCUGCUUGAUGUGGACCACGGAAAGAUGGUCAUCAGGCUUUAAGACUCAGGAAACUUCCAGCAAAGACCCCAAAGAAGAAGCAGUUUGUGGUGUUGGACGGGAUCCUGGAGCAGCUGCAGGACAGUGACCAUGACGGCAAGGAG